Molecule: long non-coding RNA, 1674 nt
Filed under: Equus caballus (horse)
Lineage: Eukaryota; Metazoa; Chordata; Mammalia; Perissodactyla; Equidae
Description: lncRNA (ENSECAG00000052406.1)
Source: RNAcentral
GUCAGGUGUUGCUCAGUUAAUGACUGUUACAAUGUUGCAAAUAAAGUGUCCACUACCGGGUUGUACAUAAACAUUCCACGUUGUGGGUGAUGGAAUUUAAAGAUAAGAAUGUCUAGGUUUAAUUUCUGAACAAGGGAAGUUUGGACAAGUGAACAGGGGAUAGCUGAGCUUCUUUGUUUAUGUUGGCCAUCAGGGUCAUGAAAUGCUACUGUUUCAUCUAAAGGCAUAUUAAUGUUUAGUUUCUCUUUUGGAAAUUCUUUAAUUUGCAGGUUAAAAAAGGACAGACUUUUGAUGAUUGUUUUCCUCAAGUAGUUUAGGGGCAUGAAUUGCAUUCACGUAGAGAGAGAAUGUGUGGGUCUAAGUAAGAAUCAAUGCAAUUUAAGUAAGCAGGUUAUCUGGUGACUUACAAUAGUGGUAGUUUGAAGCUGUCUGAUUUAAGCCUCUCAUAACAAUAUCAUGAAUAUGCGAAGUAGAGCAUAAACCCAAGUAAAUAGCCUUACUUCUCAACCAAGUGUGAAGAGAGAGCCCUAGAUAUUCCUCAUUAGUCAGUGGAAGAGCCCGACUUUCAGAGAUUGUUUUCUGCAGCACAAAGGGAGUAUCCAAAAGCAGAGAGAAGUUUUUCUAUUUUUAUUCCAUUGCUUUCAGUUCGAUAAAACAUAGUAUGGCACAGUUUUCGUUAGAAUUAGGGGAACAAGGUGCCUCCAGUUGCAGGAACGUUUCAGUUCCCUUCAGUCAUUCCUGGGUUUUUCCUUAUUUUAUUUUCUAAGGAGGUCGAAGAAGGAAGAGAUGAUAAAGAAGAAAGCAACACCUUUUUUUUUUUUUUUUUUUAAGAAAUGGCACAUAUAUGUAUAUGUUGGUAUGUGUGUGUAUUCUGUGUAUUAUUUUGUCAUGAUCCCAGUUAUCUUCUUUCCACCAAAGUUUGCAGUAAUAUUCUCUCCCGAAGGUGCGUUCUGGCUCCUUUAAAUUAGUCAGUGUUAUAUUGUAGGAGACUGUCAUGGAAAAGGACUCAGUUUACUUUUGUCGUUUUCACAGGGGAACCUUUUGAAACAAUCUCUUCAGCAGCAGACACCUUUAACCCUAAUAAUCUCAGGCCUUGAUGAAAAUACUAUAUUUUGUAGAUUAUGGUUAAAGGGAGAAAAUUACUAGUUCUGUAAGAUAAAUAUGAGCUCCAUUAACUUCUGAUAUCUGGUUUAGCAUUACAUAAUGUGUUGAUCUUUUGCUCUGCUUUUAUCCAAAUAAGAUGCAAUAGUAUCAAUAUCAGUUUCUGAAAGAUGGACUGAAUAUGCUUUUUUGGUGAUGAAAUCUGAUGUACGAUAUUUAUAGUGACGUACUUUUAUUUUCUCAUGAGAAACUAAAUAUUAAUUGUGUUGUACAUUUGUUCUUAGCAUAUAUUAAAGUUUUGAACCAAAUGUGUUAAAGCUUAUGCUUUGCCAUGUAAAUUUCCCAGAAGUUGUUGAGCUCAAAUGUAUCCUACAUCCAGCUGUAGAAAUUUGUCAGAAAUUGUUUAAAUUUUGUAUAUAGUUGUACUGUUUAAUUCUAGCCACUGCGGUGAACAGUAUUCGAGUUACCAUACAAUAUGGCUUUACACAAGGAAAUGUGUGGCUUUUGUUUUGUAUUUUUUUCAGUAUAGAAGUUCCUGUGUCUUAUUUAAAUAAAGUUAUUAGUAAAACUGGA